This 1129-nucleotide long non-coding RNA is filed under the name Nicotiana benthamiana. Its description in RNAcentral is "long non-coding RNA (NBEN_LNC021884)". The record is from RNAcentral. Lineage: Eukaryota; Viridiplantae; Streptophyta; Magnoliopsida; Solanales; Solanaceae.
CCUUGUAGGAGCAAUCCGAGCUAUGUAGAUAUUACGGAAUGAAAUCGAGCUAUUUGAAUUGCUGAAGUCGAGUAGAAGCCAAAGGUAUUAAGCUGGAAUCGCGUUUGGGGGUCGAGAACCACGUCUAAACUUCAAAAAUUAAGCAAAACGGCAAGCUCUAAGAAAAAACCCACAGUCGCAGCGUGCCACAGCUGCCUUAUUUUGUUGUUGCCUUCAAAGUGCACACUUCCUCAUAAACUCCACUAUCACAUCGCAUGUCGCGUUGCCCCAUGCAGCACGCCUGUGCAAUUUUUAUAGAGUAACAAUCGAAUGUCAACCAGGAGAAGGUGGUUUCGUUCAGGUCUGACCCUACUUGGUAUAAAUACAUGUAAAAAUGUUAUUUUGGGGACAUUUGACACAUUUUAAACCGAAGUCUGAUGACCCGAAAGGUCAUUACUUGAUUUAAAUUAAAUUAUGUAUUUUCUGAGGCCUUGAAAGCCUCUUUAGCCUCGUCUCAAUUUGUGUGCGCAGUCCGUACGUUUAGCCGGAAAGCUUAUAUGGUAAAAUGUAUGAAAAGAAUAAUAAGUUUUGAUUGUAAAAGGAAUAAAUUUGGCUUCGUUCAAUAUUUUGGGUAAACGGACCCGGACCCGUGAUUUAACUGUCCCAGAGGGUCCGUAGGAAAAUAUGAGACUUGGGCGUAUACCCAGAAUUGAAUUUCGAGGUCCCGAACCCGAGAAAUAAAUUUUUUUAGAAAAUUAUUGCCUGAAAGAUUUUAAGGAAAUUUGAAAACAAAUAUGAUUAGAAAGCAUUAGUAUCGGGCCCGUAUUUUGGCUUUGGAGCCCAGUAUAUGUCUUAUAUAUGGUUUAGGUCUUUUCUGUGAAAUUUGAAUAAAAAUGAUUGUCGUUUGACGUAGUUCGAACUUGAAUUGUCAAAUUUAAUACUUGUUGAAGUUUGAGAAAAGUUGUUGAUUUUGAUAAUACGUAUAAAUAUAGCAUGGCAUACCAAUGAGUUGUUUGCUUCCCCUUUCUCUCUUUCUCCUUCAUUUUCUUUUCCUUUUUCCAUGUAUGUAAUUCUCGCUAGUCAAGCCAAAGUAACUUUUCCUUCCCUUCCUCUAAAGUUCUCAAGAUCUGAUGUCUGAAAAGUACAUAAA